GGAAGCGUGCCUGAAUUUAAAGGGUCACUUUGAUAGAGUGAAUCAUGAAGGCUAGAACCCUUCCGCCUCCU
Molecule: transfer RNA, 71 nt
Filed under: Osteomugil perusii (longfinned mullet)
Lineage: Eukaryota; Metazoa; Chordata; Actinopteri; Mugiliformes; Mugilidae
Description: Moolgarda perusii (longfinned mullet) tRNA-Ile
Rfam family: tRNA
About the family: Transfer RNA (tRNA) molecules are approximately 80 nucleotides in length.
Source: RNAcentral